This 407-nucleotide ribosomal RNA is filed under the name uncultured bacterium. RNAcentral describes it as "partial 16S ribosomal RNA". It matches the Rfam family "Bacterial small subunit ribosomal RNA", at positions 28 to 526 of the family's 1533-position model. The record is from RNAcentral.
GACGAACGCUGGCGGCGUGCCUAAUACAUGCAAGUAGAACGCAGUUGCGAACGGGUGAGUAAAGCGACGGUAACUGCCUGGUAGCGGGGGAUAACUAUUGGAAACGAUAACUAAUACCGCAUACUAACAGAUGGACCUGCGUUGUAUUAGCUAGUUGGUGAGGUAACGGGUCACAAAGGCAACGAUACAUCGCCGACCUGAGAUGGGGAUCGGGCACACUUGGACGGAGCAACGGCCCAGACUCCUACGGUAGGCAGCAGUAGGGAAUCUUCGGCAAUUGGGGGAACCCUGACCGAGCAACGCCGCGUGAGUGAAGAAGGUUUUCGGAUCGUAAAGCUCUGUUGUUAAGGAAGCGGUACUUAACCAGAAAGGGACGGCUAACUACGUGCCAGCAGCCGCGGUAAUUC